ACUGUUUUGCCGGCUGGAACGCACGCUCAUUUCAAUUUGGUAGCGCUUGCAAUUUGUAUUUUAUGCAUAAACGCUCACAUGUUGCCCCUUGGAGAUGACAAAAAGGAUCGCUAUGCCAAGCUGUCCUUUCUGGGCGAAGGACAGUUUGCCAUCGUGUACAAGGCGCGCGACACUGUGACCAGCCAAAUUGUGGCCGUCAAGAAGAUCAAGAAGGGCAGCCGCGAUGAGGCGCGCGAUGGCAUCAAUCGCACCGCAUUGCGUGAAAUUAAGAUCCUGCAGGAGCUGCAGCACGAGAACAUUAUCGGACUGGUCGAUGUAUUUGGCCAGCUGUCGAAUGUGUCGCUGGUGUUUGAUUUUAUGGACACCGAUCUGGAGGUGAUCAUCAAGGAUAACAAGAUUAUUCUCACCCAAGCGAACAUCAAGGCGUAUGCUAUAAUGACACUGCGCGGCCUAGAAUAUCUGCACGUCAAUUGGAUUCUGCAUCGCGAUCUGAAGCCCAACAAUUUGCUUGUCAAUAGUGAUGGCGUUUUAAAGAUCGGCGAUUUUGGUCUGGCCAAGAGCUUUGGUUCGCCUAAUCGCGUGUACACUCAUCAUGUGGUGACGCGUUGGUAUCGCUCACCCGAGCUGCUAUUUGGCGCCCGCCAAUACGGUACCGGCGUGGACAUGUGGGCCGUUGGCUGCAUUCUCGCCGAGCUUAUGUUGCGUGUACCCUUUCUGCCCGGCGAUUCCGAUCUGGAUCAGCUGACGCGCAUCUUCAGCGUUUUGGGCACACCCACAGAGGCCGAGUGGCCCUAUCUGAGCAAGCUCCAUGACUAUUUACAAUUUCGUCAUUUUGUGGGCACACCGCUUCAGAAUAUAUUCACAGCAGCCGGCAAUGAUAUGAUCACGCUGAUGCGUCGUCUGUUUGCCAUGAAUCCGCUAAAGCGCUGCUCGUGCCGCGAAGCGCUCAGCAUGCCUUAUUUUCAUAAUAAGCCCGCGCCCACAGUUGGCCCCAAAUUGCCAAUGCCCUCAGCCAUAUUGGCCGCCAAGGAGGGCGCCAAUGCGGCUGCCGAUGAGAAACCGGGACUCAAGCGCAAACUGGUCGAGACCACGGUGCGCGGCAAUGUCCUGCCGCAAAAAAAGAAGUUAAUGUUCUAAACAGCUGCCAGUCCACAUGCGAAUUGCAUAGAGAGUUUAUUUGACUAGUUACUAAGCGAUAGCCACAAAUAUACUAAAUAAAAGCUAAGACAUCAGACAACUCUCCACUUGUACAACUGCUUUUAACCAAAGCACAAACCACAGCUGCUAUAAAAGAAAGCUGACACAACAGCACAGCUUGAACUCAGCGUGUCGACAGAUGGCGCCAGACGAAUUGCGUUUGAUUCGAAAGAUAUGUAUACGAAUGGAUACAUAUAUUUUGUAUGCCUAUGUGCAAGUUCACCAACACCUCUAGCUGCACUGAAAAUUAAAAACAAAUGUAUUCCUAACUAAUGCCCUACUACGCGAUUCUCAUGAAUUCAAGUCGGACUCAUGGGCCACACGGCAACUGUAGACGGCGAUGGCUUUAAAGUUGGAGUAACGACAACUUAAAGAAAGUAGAAGGCAGCUGAUUUAAUAUUGGAAGAGACGGCAGCUUGUUUAAAGGAGGAGGAGGCGGCUUGUACUAUGGUGGAGGCAGUACCCAUUGCCUUGGCGGAUGACGUUGAAAAAAAAAA
Molecule: unclassified non-coding RNA, 1694 nt
Filed under: Drosophila virilis
Lineage: Eukaryota; Metazoa; Arthropoda; Insecta; Diptera; Drosophilidae
Description: GJ16576
Source: RNAcentral